Molecule: transfer RNA, 82 nt
Filed under: Mycoplasma sp. CAG:472
Lineage: Bacteria; Bacillati; Mycoplasmatota; Mollicutes; Mycoplasmatales; Mycoplasmataceae
Rfam family: tRNA
About the family: Transfer RNA (tRNA) molecules are approximately 80 nucleotides in length. Their secondary structure includes four short double-helical elements and three loops (D, anti-codon, and T loops).
Source: Rfam by way of RNAcentral
GCAGGUAUGGCGGAAUUGGCAGACGCGUUAGACUUAGGAUCUAAUGGAUUACUCCGUGGGGGUUCAAGUCCCUUUACCUGCA